CUCAGCUUCACCUGUAGAAGAAAAAUUUUUAGAUCCUAGUCCAUAAAAGGAAGAACUAUCUCUAUCCCAAAAGCCACAGGAUAACCCAAAAUUAAAAUAUUCAGUUUCACUACUAGCACAACACAAGUUGAGAUAAGGAGACAGUGUAGCCCAACCGUCAUCGUAUCCAACCAUAACUUGAUGGCCAUCACCUGUCGUAGCAAUAUGAUUAACCUUUCCGGAGCUUGCCGAAUAUUUAAAAGAAUGAGUUUGAACAUAUUGGCGACCGAAAUCUCGUAUUUCAUAAGCAUACACAGUUCCAUCGGCGGUACCAACAUAUAAAAGAGAAAAUCUGGCAUUUGUAGAUAAAACAGUCGCCUUCUUUUCUCUAAGCUUGGAUUCCAGGUCCUCAUUAAUGUCCUUGUCAUUAUCUGACUUAUUCAAAUCUACAGGGUUAUGUACGCAAAGGCCAAACAGACUUUUCGUAUUCGUGUUGGAAGAAACACCGAUAUUGGCAUAAACUCUUCCAUCAGUUGACAUCCAAAAGAAAGUGUCGAUUUUAACAUCGAAAUAGAGUCGAGAUAUGAGAGAAGAAUGAUCCAGAAACCAAGUGACUUCUCGUAAAUCGUACUGUUUACUUGACACUUUCCACAACUUAUUAGGGUCAGUUGUUUCCAGCGUUGAAACCUGAAUAAUUGGUGCAGAAUCUGCAGCAUAAACGAUGGAGUCCCUUUGAAUCUCCAGGCAUUUAAGCCCACCUCCAUAUCGCAUAGCAAGCUUGUAUUGGAUUUCACACUUUAUAGGCCCAAAUAUUUCGCCAGGUCCAUCAUCGUAUCGAGUUAAAUAAGGACUUGGCGUUAGUACAGGCUUGGAAGCAUUUAAAGUGAAAUGAUAGACAGCUACAUAGUUCUUUUCAGUUGCAACCGCUAUAAUUCCGUAUUCAGAGUUAACAGCUAUUUUUUUGUUCUUUCCAUGACGUUCAAAUAAGUUCUGAGACUUUGUUAUCUUUGAUAUGAGUGUCAAGGGUCGAAUUUGAUAUAUUAAAAUCUCGGUUUCAGUCAAAACAACGAAGAACGACACUUUAGGGAUUCGACAUAUUUGUAUUGCUCUGGAGGACAAUUGUAUUCUCUGAGGUGUUCCAUGAAGGAAGUACAUGAAUAGUUCACCUUAUUCGACAAGGAGUUUAACCAUUUCCAAGGAUGCUGAACCCUUUGAGAACGUAAGGAUCAACAGUUGACGCUGAUGUUCUACCACCAUUUUCGUUAAAAAGUGCAACAAAAGGAACAACUUAAUUCGUUAAAUAAUAAUUUCGCAAUUUGUUAAUUUGCAACUUGCAUAUCAAUUGAAGGAUACUUAUAUUAUUGUAUAAUGGAGCUGAUAUUUUAUUUACUAGAUGUCAAACGAAUGCAGUAAUCUAGGAAAAAGCUUCUAGUCCAUUUUUACUUUAGGAAUGGCAAAUUAUGCUCUGCUUUGUUAACGAAAGUAUUGUCAAAUUGUACAAUAGAUUAGCCAUCAGCUAUAAAAUUACAAUAAGGCUUCAAUUCAUUCAUUGGUACAUGAUUUCCUAUUCAUUUCCCUAAAUGAGAGGUUUGAAAAAAGUUAAUUAUAAAUCGAAUAGACCUAAGCUCGGUUCAAGAUUUCAAAAACAAGACAAAGAACUUGAUUGGUUUAAUUAAUUAUUCGCAAAAAAAAAAAACGUAUUUGAAUUCGUGGGUUCUAUGCAAAAGACCGUUAUUAACAUUAUAAUAGCAUACCCUUCCAAAAGAUAUUAUCGCGUGAAAUCACUGCCAAGAAUGGAAAGCGGCAUACAAAAUCAAACAAAUGUUCCACAUCGUAAUGGACAUUAACAAUAUGAUGAAUAAUACAAAGAAAGAGAAAAAAGCAGUAAAACGGAAUGAAAAUUUUACCACAUUAAUAUUUCACAGACAAAAGCUUUUGCUUUUGUUCUUCAGACAAAUCUAACAAAAUCGACAGCAAGUUCACAAUUUCAGGCCGACGAUCCCUCUGUUCGAGAAAUUGGAAAAGAAUGUUGCGUGUGUAUUCCUUAUCUAUUAGCAUGUCAUCCGAGCCAGGAUGCUUAGAAUUAACUUCCACUGACGAAGAAGAGCGGCUUACAGAACUGUUUCUCCCAUGGUUAGAAGGUUGUUGCUUACGUAGUUGAUUGAACACAUUUUUGAAUGACUUUUGCAGGUGUUCGUAUCGUGCUGUCGAAUCUUCCAAAUUCUUGAGAAGUGUUUGAUUUUCAUUCUUCAGGGCCUCCAACGAUAAACCGUUAUCGGGCUCAACUGAUUGAGUUUUCACGUUGGAGUUUUCAAAAGAAAUGGCCAGCUCCUGAUACUUUUUAUUAGCUUCAUUCAACUUAAGUUUCAGUUCAUCUAUUUGAGAAUUUAGUUCAUUAAUUUUCUCCUGGAAACUAACGCAUUCAGCUUGGGAGUUAGUCAGACUGGAUUCUAAGCUUUUAAUCUGAGUUUCGUAAUCAGAAGAUAGGUUCGAGUAAUGGUUUUCACCAGCCUGCUUCAAAUCUUGACGUUCCAAUUCCAAUUGCUCAACUAAUAAACGUAAUUUCUGACUAUCCUGCGUUUGUUCACGGAGUAAUUUACGAAGUUCAGUCAGUUCUUCCUCUUUGUUUUGCAAAUCUUCCUCCUGUUCUUUCAGUUGACGGUCGAACUCAUUGUUUUGUUCUUGUAAUGAGGUAAGUUUAUUUACCGUCUCUUUCAUUUGAAGUUGCUUUUCCUGUGCACUGGAGAAUAGUCUUUUCCGUUCUGCUUCACUCUCGGAGACUGUUUGUUUCAAAGAAGUAAUUUCGUCUUUAAGCUGACUAUUAGAUGUGAUGUAAGAAUCAAGUUCUGUCUGCAUCUGCGUUCGGGAUUGAAGUAACCUACUUUUGAGUGAUUCAGCAUCGUUCAGUUUUUUAAUAUUCUUUUGAUUUUCUUCUCGUAUUGUUUCACAUGACGAUUCUGCCCACAGUAAAUUUCUUCUGCAUUCGUCAAUUUCGUUUUGCAACUUUGUAAUAUAAUCGUUUAAGUUAUCAACUCUAGACUUCAAACUUUCAGAGUUCUGCUUAAAUUUUUCCGAGUUUUCCUUUAAAGUACUUUCGGCAACAUGUAACUGCUUAGUAAGUUCUUCAACAAGCUUUGGCGUUUCUAAAUCUACGGUAUACUCUUUCGGUUUCAAAUCCAAAAAAACCAAAGGAAUGGUAUCUGCUAGGUGUAUUUUAUGGUGAUGAAACACAUAUUUCGGCCAGUUCAAUAAUGUAUCUAAAUCAGUGAAAGAAAAAUGAUGCAUUGGUUCCUUGGCAUUGGCAUUAACAAUCAAAUCAUCAUUAGCUAUGUCUCUUCGUUCCUCUUCUUUACUAUCGGCAACUGUAUCUUGUUCUGCAUCUACAUCUUCACUUUGUGCUACCUUUUGUAUGUCAGGCGUACUAAUGGACUCGGAAAGCGCAUCAUUCUCUGUAGUCGCUUCUAUAUUUUGUUUAGUUGACUUUUUCUUUUGAUUUUUACGAUUCCUUUUCUUCUUCUUCUUUGAUAAAGCACUGCUGACACCUAUAGUAUCAGUUGAGGGCCUUGAAACUUCGGGAACGUCAUUUUUUGUCUCUACUGUUUUAUCAUCUUUCAAACUGGAAAUAACCUCCUGCUCAAUGGAUUGUGCACUUUCCAACGAAUUAAUCUUCUCUUCAAGUUCCGAGCAUCUUUGUAUUGACUUUUCUAGCUCAUCUUUUUUCUGUAGAAUUAAACUGUUUUGAUUACUUAUUUCAGAGUUCAGCUUUUCAAUUUGAUCCUCGAACUGAUGUUUUAAAUUCUCCCGAUCAGUCUGUAAAUCAUUCACUUCAUGCGAUAAUCUCCUAACUUCGCUAACUGUCAUUUCAUAACGAUGCUCUAAAUUCUCCAUAAAUUCACGGAAUCCUUCUAAGUCUUGAAUACUUGACAACGGAGUUUUCUCCUGUAGAAGCUUUUGAAACGCUACAACGUUAUUUUGUAGUUCAUUCAAUUUUUGUACGACGGAGUCCAUAUUUUUCGCGUCCUCUUCAUUUUGAGAGAGCUUAUUAGAAGAUUUAUUAUUUCUUCUUAAUUGAUCUUCUUCUUGAAACUGCCUACGUCGAUUCUUAGCUUCUUCCUGGCCUUGGGCCAGUGUCAUGUUCAAUUGAUCUUUUAAUCUUCCCAGCAUUUUGAUUGAUAACCAAGAAAGAAAGUACCCAUAGAUUAAAUCGUAUAAUGUUAUUUAAUCUUAUACGUGCUUGGAAAUAUUAGUUGUUAGAUAUUGUAAUUGACUGGGUAUGGCACAAUAUUCUAGUGUUAACAUUCUGCCACUUUAGCGUACUCUAUUCUAC
Molecule: non-coding RNA, 4306 nt
Organism: Schizosaccharomyces pombe (fission yeast)
Lineage: Eukaryota; Fungi; Ascomycota; Schizosaccharomycetes; Schizosaccharomycetales; Schizosaccharomycetaceae
Source: the annotation of a GenBank genome assembly